AACGAACGCUGGCGGCAUGCCUAACACAUGCAAGUCGAACGAGACCUUCGGGUCUAGUGGCGCACGGGUGCGUAACGCGUGGGAACCUGCCCUUAGGUUCGGCAUAACUCCCCGAAAGGGGUGCUAAUACCGGAUAAUGUCUUCGGACCAAAGAUUUAUCGCCUUUGGAUGGGCCCGCGUUGGAUUAGCUAGUUGGUAGGGUAAAAGCCUACCAAGGCGACGAUCCAUAGCUGGUCUGAGAGGAUGAUCAGCCACACUGGGACUGAGACACGGCCCAGACUCCUACGGGAGGCAGCAGAGGGGAAUAUUGGACAAUGGGCGAAAGCCUGAUCCAGCAAUGCCGCGUGAGUGAUGAAGGCCUUAGGGUUGUAAAGCUCUUUUACCCGGGAUGAUAAUGACAGUACCGGGAGAAUAAGCUCCGGCUAACUCCGUG
RNAcentral lists this ribosomal RNA (433 nucleotides) under uncultured bacterium. RNAcentral's name for it is "partial 16S ribosomal RNA". It matches the Rfam family "Bacterial small subunit ribosomal RNA", at positions 29 to 507 of the family's 1533-position model. The record is from RNAcentral.